RNAcentral lists this ribosomal RNA (468 nucleotides) under uncultured bacterium. RNAcentral describes it as "partial 16S ribosomal RNA". It matches the Rfam family "Bacterial small subunit ribosomal RNA", at positions 28 to 507 of the family's 1533-position model. The record is from RNAcentral.
GACGAACGCUGGCGGCGUGCUUAACACAUGCAAGUCGAACGGAAAGGCCCUGCUUUUGUGGGGUGCUCGAGUGGCGAACGGGUGAGUAACACGUGAGUAACCUGCCCUUGACUUUGGGAUAACUUCAGGAAACUGGGGCUAAUACCGGAUAGGAGCUCCAGCUGCAUGGUGGGGGUUGGAAAGUUUCGGCGGUUGGGGAUGGACUCGCGGCUUAUCAGCUUGUUGGUGGGGUAGUGGCUUACCAAGGCUUUGACGGGUAGCCGGCCUGAGAGGGUGACCGGCCACAUUGGGACUGAGAUACGGCCCAGACUCCUACGGGAGGCAGCAGUGGGGAAUAUUGCACAAUGGGCGGAAGCCUGAUGCAACAACGCCGCGUGCGGGAUGACGGCCUUCGGGUUGUAAACCGCUUUCGCCUGUGACGAAGCGUGAGUGACGGUAAUGGGUAAAGAAGCACCGGCUAACUACGUG